This is a long non-coding RNA of Daphnia pulicaria, 580 nucleotides long. RefSeq lists it as uncharacterized. Lineage: Eukaryota; Metazoa; Arthropoda; Branchiopoda; Diplostraca; Daphniidae. The transcript is spliced from 2 exons. The record is from RefSeq and is a predicted model, not a curated record.
UGUCAACAGUAUUGCAAAGCAUCUACUCUACUAUGUAACAAUUACUAGGGCGUCUAUGUCCUCGGCGGACGAAUCCAAUAACUAUCCCUUGUAUUUAAGUUGAAGUCAACUUAAAAAAAAAAAGUUUAAGUGAAUUAGCUACACUUCUACCUGUAAAUUGAUCAAGUUGAACUACGUUCGGUCGCUCAUGUUUACCAGUUAUUCUUUUCAGUCUGUUACCUUAAGUAGAAUGGACUUUCCCUUUAACUGAACUAAAAUUGUUCUUAGCACAGCGCACGGUUUCGAAGUGAGCAAGCAAGAGAUCAAAAUGGCCUUGCGACGAACGACAUUGGGUUAGCAUUGGCCUCAUUUCUGUAACCUAUAUUCUUCUUGUAAGUUGUUCUACUAGUCCCGAAUGUUCUUCCAAAGGAUUUCGUAAUUUUUAAAGUAGCUUGGUAACACACAAUUUUUAAAUGAUCAUUAUUUUCUCUGUUUACAUUCCAUCAAUACUAGAUAUAAAAUAUGUUUGCACUUUGAAGUCAACUCACCCGCUGCUAAGUUCUAAUUGCGAUAUUUUAAGCAAUACAAUUCGUUUCUAGGA